RNAcentral lists this ribosomal RNA (478 nucleotides) under uncultured bacterium. Its description in RNAcentral is "partial 16S ribosomal RNA". It matches the Rfam family "Bacterial small subunit ribosomal RNA", at positions 28 to 523 of the family's 1533-position model. The record is from RNAcentral.
GACGAACGCUGGCGGCGUGCUUAACACAUGCAAGUCGAGCGAUGAAGCUCCUUCGGGAGUGGAUUAGCGGCGGACGGGUGAGUAACACGUGGGUAACCUGCCUCAUAGAGGGGAAUAGCCUUCCGAAAGGAAGAUUAAUACCGCAUAAGAUUGUAGUACCGCAUGGUAUAGCAAUUAAAAGAGUAAUCCGCUAUGAGAUGGACCCGCGUCGCAUUAGCUAGUUGGUGAGGUAACGGCUCACCAAGGCGACGAUGCGUAGCCGACCUGAGAGGGUGAUCGGCCACAUUGGGACUGAGGCACGGCCCAGACUCCUACGGGAGGCAGCAGUGGGGAAUAUUGCACAAUGGGGGAAACCCUGAUGCAGCAACGCCGCGUGAGUGAUGACGGUCUUCGGAUUGUAAAGCUCUGUCCUCAGGGACGAUAAUGACGGUACCUGAGGAGGAAGCCACGGCUAACUACGUGCCAGCAGCCGCGGUAA